AUUGAACGCUGGCGGCAUGCUUUACACAUGCAAGUCGAACGGCAGCGCGGGCUUCGGCCUGGCGGCGAGUGGCGAACGGGUGAGUAAUGCAUCGGAACGUGCCCAGUAGUGGGGGAUAGCCCGGCGAAAGCCGGAUUAAUACCGCAUACGACCUGAGGGUGAAAGCGGGGGACCGAAAGGCCUCGCGCUAUUGGAGCGGCCGAUGUCGGAUUAGCUAGUUGGUGGGGUAAAGGCUUACCAAGGCGACGAUCCGUAGCUGGUCUGAGAGGACGACCAGCCACACUGGGACUGAGACACGGCCCAGACUCCUACGGGAGGCAGCAGUGGGGAAUUUUGGACAAUGGGGGCAACCCUGAUCCAGCCAUGCCGCGUGCGGGAAGAAGGCCUUCGGGUUGUAAACCGCUUUUGUUCGGGAAGAAAUCCUCUGGGCUAAUACCCCGGGGGGAUGACGGUACCGGAAGAAUAAGCACCGGCUAUCUACGUG
This 484-nucleotide ribosomal RNA is filed under the name uncultured bacterium. Its description in RNAcentral is "partial 16S ribosomal RNA". It matches the Rfam family "Bacterial small subunit ribosomal RNA", at positions 28 to 507 of the family's 1533-position model. The record is from RNAcentral.